GGGUUAGUAGGUUGGUCAUGCCUCUGGUAUGUACUGGUCUCACUGAUUCCUCCUUCCUGAUGAGCCGUAAUGCCAUUAAUUUGGUGUUGCGGGGAAUUUGGACUGUUACUUUGAAAAAAUUAGAGUGUUUAAAACAGGCGUAACCUAGUCUUUGAAUAUAUUAGCAUGGGAUAAUGAAAUAGGACGUUCGAUCCUAUUUUGUUGGUUUCUAGGAUUGACGUA
This 222-nucleotide ribosomal RNA is filed under the name Campeiostachys nutans. Its description in RNAcentral is "Elymus nutans partial small subunit ribosomal RNA". The stretch from base 40 to 222 matches the Rfam family "Eukaryotic small subunit ribosomal RNA", at positions 686 to 864 of the family's 1831-position model. The record is from RNAcentral. Lineage: Eukaryota; Viridiplantae; Streptophyta; Magnoliopsida; Poales; Poaceae.